This 487-nucleotide ribosomal RNA is filed under the name Pasteurella sp. 43. Its description in RNAcentral is "partial 16S ribosomal RNA". It matches the Rfam family "Bacterial small subunit ribosomal RNA", at positions 30 to 504 of the family's 1533-position model. Lineage: Bacteria; Pseudomonadati; Pseudomonadota; Gammaproteobacteria; Pasteurellales; Pasteurellaceae. The record is from RNAcentral.
AUUGAMCSCUGSCGSCAGSCUUAMCMCAUSCAAGYCGAMCGGUASCAGGGAAGUSCUYGCACUUUUGCUGACGAGUGGCGGACGGGUGAGUAAUGCUUGGGAAUCUGGCUUAUGGAGGGGGAUAACUGUGGGAAACUGCAGCUAAUACCGCGUAUAAUCGGGAGAUGAAAGACUGGGAGCGAAAGUCCAGUUGCCAUAAGAUGAGCCCAAGUGGGAUUAGGUAGUUGGUGGGGUAAAGGCCUACCAAGCCGUCGAUCUCUAGCUGGUCUGAGAGGAUGGCCAGCCACACUGGGACUGAGACACGGCCCAGACUCCUACGGGAGGCAGCAGUGGGGAAUAUUGCGCAAUGGGGGGAACCCUGACGCAGCCAUGCCGCGUGAAUGAAGAAGGCCUUCGGGUUGUAAAGUUCUUUCGGUGGUGAGGAAGGSGAUUAGKUUAAUAGGCUAAUUGAUUGRCGKUAACCACAGRAGRAGSACCGGCUAACUCC